GGGACGCGGGGCCCUGGACGCGGGGCGCGUGUGGCCCGCACGUGUGUCGCCUGCACGCGUGUCGCCCGCCGUGUUCCCACGGCUGCUGUCAGCCCCGCCUGUUUCCUAAACGUCUGCGCCGGCAUUCUCCGCGGCGGGUCCGCGUCCCGGCUGGAGUCACUUUCUCCUCCGGAUGUUGCCAGAAGUCACCGCACGUGGCCGUCCACGCUGAAGAAUAACGCUCGUUUCAGAAGGCAGGGGACUUACCACGUAUCUCGAGGCGAUCCUCACGGCCUUCUGCUUCCUUCAUUCCGCCGGGCGGAGAAGACGCCGGCCCCGCAGUGUUUGUAACAAAAAUAACGCAAGAACCAUCAAUACGAAACUGUUCCUGUGGUCGACUUCAGACUUCAGGCCUUUGUUUUACAGACGAGGAAACAGCACGGUUGAUCUACAACUCAAUAAUAGACGUCAUAAAUCUCAGAGCAGGCCCCCGAGACCGUGCACCGGGCGAGUUAACAUGGCGGGUCAGCACGUCCAGAUGGCCCAGGCCCACAUAUGGGAGGAUGCUGCCGCUGGACCCGACGUCGGUCAGAAGUGUGUGGGGGCUGCUCCUGCUCUUCUGUUUUGGGGGCGGGCUGCUGGCCUCUCUCCCCGCCCUUCAAAUUUGGUUUGCCUGAUUUUUGUAUAUGUGUA
Hippopotamus amphibius kiboko is the source of this 672-nucleotide long non-coding RNA. RefSeq lists it as uncharacterized. The record is from RefSeq and is a predicted model, not a curated record. The transcript is spliced from 3 exons. Lineage: Eukaryota; Metazoa; Chordata; Mammalia; Artiodactyla; Hippopotamidae.